Molecule: ribosomal RNA, 429 nt
Filed under: Gemmatimonadota bacterium
Lineage: Bacteria; Pseudomonadati; Gemmatimonadota
Description: Gemmatimonadetes bacterium partial 16S ribosomal RNA
Rfam family: Bacterial small subunit ribosomal RNA
Source: RNAcentral
UAGGGAAUCUUCGGCAAUGGACGAAAGUCUGACCGAGCAACGCCGCGUGAGUGAAGAAGGUUUUCGGAUCGUAAAACUCUGUUGUUAGAGAAGAACAAGGACGUUAGUAACUGAACGUCCCCUGACGGUAUCUAACCAGAAAGCCACGGCUAACUACGUGCCAGCAGCCGCGGUAAUACGUAGGUGGCAAGCGUUGUCCGGAUUUAUUGGGCGUAAAGCGAGCGCAGGCGGUUUCUUAAGUCUGAUGUGAAAGCCCCCGGCUCAACCGGGGAGGGUCAUUGGAAACUGGGAGGCUUGAGUGCAGAAGAGGAGAGUGGAAUUCCAUGUGUAGCGGUGAAAUGCGUAGAUAUAUGGAGGAACACCAGCGGCGAAGGCGGCUCUCUGGUCUGUAACUGACGCUGAGGCUCGAAAGCGUGGGGAGCAAACAGG